This 253-nucleotide ribosomal RNA is filed under the name uncultured bacterium. RNAcentral describes it as "partial 16S ribosomal RNA". It matches the Rfam family "Bacterial small subunit ribosomal RNA", at positions 524 to 776 of the family's 1533-position model. The record is from RNAcentral.
UACAGAGGUCCCAAGCGUUGUUCGGAUUCACUGGGCGUAAAGGGUGCGUAGGUGGUGAGGUAAGUCGGAUGUGAAAUCUCCAAGCUCAACUUGGAAACUGCAUUGGAAACUACCUUGCUAGAGGAUUUGAGGGGGGAUUGGAAUACUUGGUGUAGCAGUGAAAUGCGUAGAUAUCGGGAGGAACACCUGUGGCGAAAGCGGCGCACUGGACCACAACUGACGCUGAGGCGCGAAAGCUAGGGGAGCAAACAGG